AGCCUCUGUGUUUUUUUAGUCUAACUUUAUUGAGCCUUUCGAUGGCUAAGUUGAAGAUCUCUCUUGGAAACAGUUUCUAUGGAAAGAAAUCUGAGCUAACCUGUUGGGGAGGUCAUACAGCAAGAAAGAGGCCCUGGAGGAUAAGAAGCCACAUAGGAAAGAACCAAAGUGCCCCAAUGGACAGCCAGCACCCAGACAUGUAAGAAAACUGAAAACUGCCAGUACUAUCUGUAGUAAAAUGAUCAAAGGAGGUAUCCUUAAGA
Molecule: long non-coding RNA, 263 nt
Organism: Dama dama (fallow deer)
Lineage: Eukaryota; Metazoa; Chordata; Mammalia; Artiodactyla; Cervidae
Exons: 3
Source: RefSeq, a predicted model, not a curated record